UAUAACCUCAGACAACAAGGUUUUAAUCUUCAAAGCUCGCCCACCUUGCAAAUUGAGCCUCUAUUCUAGCAAAUAUCUCCUAAACGAAAAAUUCUAACUAAUGAUUGAAAGUAGAAAAAUGCUUUUCAUCAUCCCUUGACAUAGUAUCAAAUAAGAGAAACGCUUACUGCAGUCGCCAAGGGGAAGCGCCGCGCAAGCGGGCAGCUGAUGUGGCAAUUAAACCGAAACGCCCCGUUUAAUUAAUACACACUGUUUCCUCAUCCUCGUGUUUCAGACAAGAAGAACUUUCUCUCUCUGCGAAGUUCUUUGCCCUCCACUCAAAGCCCAGUGAAGCCCCUUCAUCUUAUGCGCAGAACCCCUUCCCCUUCAUCUCGAAAACUCUAACAGUUUCGUUUCCCUUCCAUCCCGAAAAUCCUAACUUCGGCAUUUCCCUUCAUCCUGAAAAACCCUAACUGAAAUUCCCCUUCAUCCCGUAGAACCCCAACUUUCGAAUUUCCGUUCCCCUUCAUAAUGAAAACUCUAACAACUUCGUUUCUCUUCCAUCCCGAAAACCCUAACUUCUUCGUUUCCCUUCAUCCCGAAAAACUCUAACUUUCCUUGCCCUUCAUCUCGAAGAACCCCAACUUUCGAAUUUCUGGAACGCACCUCCACUUCCGGCACGCAGCUUCAAACCCUAAUGUCUGCUACCACAAAUCCGAGGUCCUAUUUAAAUGGCUUUUACAAAACUGUUUCACAAUCUUGAUACCAUCAAACUAAAAACUGCUGCAUGAGAAUGUCCUUAUCAUCACUGUCUUCUUCACCGUCAGCAAAACCAUCGUGCUUCUGUAAUAUUGAAACUACAUUGAGAUAUUCAAAUACUAAAAGAAAUCCAGGGCGACCCUUCUUAGGGUGUCCAAACUACAACACAAAGGGAUUACCAUAUUGCAAAUAUUUCAAGUGGGUUGAUAGUAAUCAACACACAAACUCGGAUCUACAA
This is a long non-coding RNA of Juglans regia (Persian walnut), 976 nucleotides long. RefSeq lists it as uncharacterized. Lineage: Eukaryota; Viridiplantae; Streptophyta; Magnoliopsida; Fagales; Juglandaceae. The transcript has 3 exons. The record is from RefSeq and is a predicted model, not a curated record.